UACGGAGGGAGCUAGCGUUGUUCGGAAUUACUGGGCGUAAAGCGCACGUAGGCGGCUUUGUAAGUUAGAGGUGAAAGCCCGGAGCUCAACUCCGGAACUGCCUUUAAGACUGCAUCGCUUGAAUCCAGGAGAGGUGAGUGGAAUUCCGAGUGUAGAGGUGAAAUUCGUAGAUAUUCGGAAGAACACCAGUGGCGAAGGCGGCUCACUGGACUGGUAUUGACGCUGAGGUGCGAAAGCGUGGGGAGCAAACAGG
Molecule: ribosomal RNA, 253 nt
Filed under: uncultured bacterium
Lineage: Bacteria
Description: partial 16S ribosomal RNA
Rfam family: Bacterial small subunit ribosomal RNA
Source: RNAcentral